AUUUGUUCUAAAGUGACAUUUCUUCAGAAACGUGGAAAUGUAGAAAAUUAAAACUCAACGCUCUAAGAGCUACAUGCACAGAAAUAAAGGUCAGAGACUUUAGAAUUCUGUUCUACUCUGAACAGCUUGGGUAAGAGUUCUUGGUAAAAGCUGGUGAACUGGAAGGUGAAAUUUGUUACAUAAUGCUGAGUGUGGAAUUGAAUAUCUGAAAAGAGCAAUCUUCUGAUAAGCAGUUUUCUCCCAAUGAAAGAUUAUUGUAUAAUCAGAAACCUCCCCAGCUAUGGCUGAAGCAGCUGUGGUUAUUCACACUAGAAUCAAAAACAGAUUUAGAGAGAGCAUGACUUUCAAAUAUAGAUUAUUUUUCGGAGGUAGAGCUUUUCAGUACUGAAAGUCAAUAUUAUGCCUUAUAUUAUGUCUAGUACUUGACUUUCGGACAUCACCAAAAUUAAAAAAAUACAAUAGGAGUUCUUUUGUGGUGCAGUGGGUUACGGAGCCGAUGUUGUCACUGCAGCAGCUUGGGUCACUACUCUGGCAGGGGUUUGAUCCCUGGCGCAGGAAUUUUUUGUUUUGUUUUGUUUUUUUAUAGGGUCGCAACCGUGGCAUACGGAGGUUCCCAGGCUGGGGGUCUAAUCGGAGCUGUAGCUGCUGACCUACACCACAGCCACAGCCACGCCAGAUCCGAGCCUGGUCUUUGACCUACACCACAGCUCAGGGCAAUGCCAGAUUCUUAACCCACUGAGCGAGGCCAGGGAUCGAUGUUUCCUAGUUGGAUUUGUUUCUGCUGCGCCAUGACGGGAACUCCUGGCCCAGGAGAUUUUAUUUGCCAUGAGCGCAGCCAAAAAAAAAAACCACAUUAUAUUGCAUUGCAUAUAUAUUAAAAACUAGACAUGCAAGCCAAAGGGAUAAGUUAUACUCUUCCAUUCUUUCAGUAAACUACACAGUCUAAACCAGAAAUGCCAGCAGUGGGUUACCUAUGCCUCCAGUCUCCGUUCUGGGUAAACAUUGUAGACAGCAUCAUCAAUCACAGAACUAAGCCCAGAUUUAUCUUCAGGAUCUUCACCGCACAAUGGCGUGGCUAGCCACUACAUAGUCUGGAGUUAGUCUGCCAAAUACACCUUAAUUUGCUGUUUCUGCUUAAUUACUAAUAAGUAAGCUUGUUUACCAAAAUCUCAAAAGCCAAAACCUAAAAAGGCAAUAUCUGAGUCUCAUAAAAGAACAUAUCUUGAUCAUUCAAUAAAUGCUUAUAUAUGCAAUGUACUGACUCAUAGUAGACAAUACAUAAAUGCUUUUGUUAUGAUUGUUGAGCAGCUACUAUGACCAGAUGCUAUUUCUAGGCAAUGGGGAAACAGCAAUAAACCAAAAUAUUUCCUACCUUUAUGAAGCCUCCUUUCUGGUGAUGGAAGACAGACAAUAAACAGAAUUAGGAAGUGUUGGGCUACACCCUUCAAGACUGCAUGCCUUGUAGUUGCCUGGCUGCAAGACCAAAGAAAGAGCCCAGAGGCAGGGACAGAGACAUCAAGGGUUUAUGGGCCAGGGCAUCUUAUAAGUCUGAAGCAGAAGUCCUGGAUCAAACCCCACUGUGUAUGGCAGACAGCAGGCAGAACCAGGCAAGAGUCUUUUCUACUCCGGGGGAGAAGGAGGCUAUCAUUGAUAGGGGGAAUUGACAUCAGGUUGGUUCAUCAGUUACCAGGGAAACCAGCAGCUGAGGCUGGAGGCAAGCAAGGAAGUAGUCACUAUUUAAGCCCCAUAUUUAAGAGGAUUGGAGAGUCAUGUGAACAGGGUGUAGGUGAUGGGCAGGGGCUGGUCAAGCCGGGAAGAUAGAGAACAAGAGAAUGGCCAUCUUGAGUGGCCUGACCAUACCCUGAGUAAAUUAUAUACUUUAUUAGGUGAUAUAUGCUUCAAAGCAGGACAGAAAAGUGAGGAGCAUCAUAAAACCCAGACAUUCAACUCUUAGGUAUUUACCCAAGCAAACUGACAGCAUAUAUUCUCACGAAGACUUCUACAUAAAUAUUUGUAGCAGAUUUAUUUAUAAGAGCCAAAAAUUGGAAAUGAGUCAAAUGUCCAUCAAUAUGUGAAUGGAUGGAAAUCCUGUGAAAUUGGACUGUGAUGAUCAUUGUACAACUAUAGAUGUGAUAAAUUCAUUUGAGUAAUAAAAAAAAUAUUUAAAAAUAUAUGUGAAUGGAUUUUUAAAAAUCGUGAUAUAUCCAUACAAAGCAAUACUCCAACAACAAAAAGAAUGAGCUAUUUAGACACAUAACAUGAAUGAAUCUCAAAACAAUUUAUCUGAGAACCCAGACCAAAAAAAGAAAAAGAAAAAAAGAGAAAAGCUAAUGCCGUAUAGUGCCAUUUAUAAAAGAUUCUAGAAAAUGAAAGCUAAUCUACAGUGAUGAGAAAGCAGAUUAGUAUUUGCCCGUAGACUGGUAGAGUGAAAGGACGGUUGUGGAGGGACAGGAGUCAGGGAUUGCCAAGGGGCACAAGGGAACUUCUGGGGAGUGAUGGCCAUGUUCAUUACCUUGUUCUUGUUGGUUUUGCUUUUUAGGCCGCUCCCUCGGCAUAUGGAGGUUGAAUUGGAGCUACAGCUGCCUGCCUACAUCACAGCCACAGCAAUGCAGGAUCCAAGCUGCCUCUGCGACCUACACCACAGCUCAGGGCAACUCCAGAUCGUUAAUCCACUGAGCAAGGCCAGGGAUCGAACCUGUAUCCUCAUGGAUACGCUUGGGCAUAUGGGAGGUUCCCAGGCUAGGGGUCUAAUCGGAGCUGUAGCCGCCAGCCUACACCAGAGCCACAGCAACUCGGGAUCUGAGCCAUGUCUGCGACCUACACCACAGCUCACGGCAGCGCCGGAUCCUUAACCCACUGAGCAAGGCCAGGGAUCGAACCCGCAAUCUCAUGGUUCCUAGUCGGAUUUGUUAACCACUGCGCCACAACGGGAACUCCCAACAAACCUGUUUUUUUUAAAAAAAACUAUUUUUUUUCUUUUUACGGCCGCUCCUGUGGCAUAUGGACCCCAGGCUAAGGGUCGAAUGGGAGCUGCAGCUGACAGCCUACACUGCGGCCAUGGCAACGCCAGAUCCAAUAUUCAUGAGGAUGUAGGUUUGAUCCCUGGCCUCGCUCAGUGGGUUAAGGAGUUGGCAUUGCUGUGAGCUGUGGUGUAGGUCACAGAUACGGCUGGGAUCUGGCAUUGCUGUGGCUGUGGCAUAGGCUGGCAGCUACAGCUCGGAUUCAAGACCUCGCCCAGGAGCUUCCAUAUAUGCCACAGAUGCGACCAUAAAAAGAAAAAAAAAGAUUUCAAUAUAUGAAUGGGGGUAGAUACAAUUCAGUCCAUAACAUUGAAAAAGCCUAUGUAGGACUGUGCUCUCUGAAAAAAAGAGUAAUAAAUGGAGGUGAUCCCUUCAGUUUCAGUUGUCAUAAUAGCUAUCUGCUUGGAGGCAUUAUCCAAUGCACAGAAUAGGAAAGAAAAUCCAAAUCUAAGAGACAGAGAUUGGUUAGAUGAGGCUAAAGCACCUGGAAUGUCACGACUUUAGUGGCCUAGGGAGUUCCCGUUGUGGCAUAGCGGAAACGAAUCCGCCUAGUAUCCAUGAGGACACAGCCUUGCUCAGCGGGUUGGGGAUCAGGCGUUGCCAUGAGCUGUGGUGUAGGCCAGCAGUAGCUCUGAUUUGACCACUAGCUGGGAACUUCCCCAUGCUGUAGGUGUGGCCCUAAAAAGAAAAAAAAAAAAAAAAGAAUUUAGUGGUCUAAAAACAAAUUAUUUGACACUCCUCCAAAUGAGUCGGGGGGCGGGGGGGGGUCUUUAUGCAAAUUUCCUUCGCUGCAUAUCUUCCUCCUUUCUAGUGCUGUCCUACAAAUUCCGGCUGUGAGUACCAGACUCAGGUUAUGAAAAAAAUAACCAAGGUAAUUAGAAGAUGAUAAAUCCAUAUAUCUCAACAUUCCGGUCUUCCUCCCUCUCUUCCUCCCUCCCUCCCUCUUUCCUUCUUUCUCGCCCUACCCACGGCAUGUGGAAGUUCCCAGGGCCAGAGAUUGAACCCUUGACACAAGAGUGACCCGAGCCACUGCAGUGACAAUGCUGGAUCCUUAACCACAGGACCACAAGGGAACACCAACAUUUUGGUAUUUCAAUUGGGAAUGUAAAGCAGAGGUUGGAUUUAUACAAAAAUAUCAAAGUCAAAUUGGAUUGUGAUGAUCAUUAUACAACUACAGAUGUGAUAAAUUCAUUGAGUAAUAAAAAAAAGAAAGAAUGACCCUGUGGGAAACGAAAAUUUGUAGUAAGUGAAGUGUAAAGCUUCCAGGAAAUCAUAUGCAGAAAUGGUCUAGUUAGCAGAUGUAGUAAAAGCAAAAGAGAGCUUUAGAAUCUAGUAUGAAGAAAGCCUAUGUCUUGAAGGCAACAAAUCUAAGAUUAUGUUAUUUGAAAGCUCUAGUGUGAAAUACCAAAGCCAUAUUUAUUAUUCUCCAACAGUAAAGAUACUUUUAAUUAUUAACAGUAAAGAUAAUAUUAAUUACUUUUUAAAGUAUGCCCAUCCCACCCCAAGAAAAAAGGAAACAAGUUCCCAGAUUCUGGAUUCAGCUAGCUCUCACGUGGAAGAGACCAUGUUUCCUGAGUCUGGAUUAUCUGGGGAGGGGUUGUUAGUUUGCUUUCCUAAGGAGCAGUGGGUGGACUCCAGGUGGCUGUGGCAGGGGUGAGUGACAGGGAUUCAGUGCUGUAUGUCAAAGGCAAGGUCUAUAUUUUAUUUUUGCAAUAAUAGACUAAAGUAUAUCAUUUCAUUGACUAAAAUAUAUCAUUAAUAUCUUGGAUAUACUGGAUGGGACACCAAAUCUGGAAUAAAAAAUACUGAGUCUGAGUGUCAGCUCUGUCAUUUACCAUUUCUGGACACUUUGGAUAAGCUAUGUUCUCACAGGCUCAGUCUCCUUGGUGAAACAGGAAGUAUUUCAUUAUACAGUUAUUUAAAAGUUAUCCUAUACCAGGCUUCCCACAGAGGAUUCAAAGCCCAGGAAGACAGGCUCCCUGCCACUCAGAGGUUUAGCGGGUAAAGCAGAACUAUAUAUAAAUAAAUCCAACGGUUAACAAUAAAGGAACACAAAAGGAAUCAUUAGAGGUGUGUACAGACCUCUGAGCAGGUGGAAAUUAGAAAAAAAGAACUUCAUUUAAAAAAAAGAGAGGAGUUCCCGUUGUGGCGCAGCAGAAACGAAUCCGACCAGUAUCCAUGAGAAUGCAGGUUCCAUCCCUGGCUUCAUUCAGCGGGUUGGGGAUUCGGCUUUGCCAAGAGCUGUGGUCUAUCUAGGUCGCAAACUCGGCUCAGAUCUCAAGUUGCUGUGGCUGUGGUGUAGGCCAGGAGCUGUAGCUCCUGAAUCAACCCCUAGCCUGCAAACUUCCAUAUGCCGCAGGUGCGG
Molecule: long non-coding RNA, 5385 nt
Filed under: Sus scrofa (pig)
Lineage: Eukaryota; Metazoa; Chordata; Mammalia; Artiodactyla; Suidae
Description: lncRNA (ENSSSCG00000050425.2)
Source: RNAcentral